RNAcentral lists this ribosomal RNA (242 nucleotides) under Psathyrella sp. Its description in RNAcentral is "partial large subunit ribosomal RNA". Lineage: Eukaryota; Fungi; Basidiomycota; Agaricomycetes; Agaricales; Psathyrellaceae. The record is from RNAcentral.
AAACGCUUGAAGUCAGUCGCGUUGGCCGGGAAUCAGCCUUGCUUUUGCUUGGUGUACUUUCUGGUUGACGGGCCAGCAUCAGUUUUGACCGGCGGAAAAAGUUCAGGGGAAUGUGGCAUCUUCGGGUGUGUUAUAGCCCUCGUUCGUAUACAUCGGUUGGGACUGAGGAACUCAGCACGCCGCAAGGCCGGGUCUUUGACCACGUUCGUGCUUAGGAUGCUGGCAUAAUGGCUUUAAUCGAC